GGGGGCGUCACGGCUUCGACGGAGAUGCUUGCGGCCAAGAGGCAUGCCGGGGUGCACGCACCCGUGAUCGUGUGCAAAAUGAUAAUUGCCAAUCAACAAAUGGCAUACGCAGCCUAAUUAAUUAGGCAGCCGCUUUCCACCGCUUUGCCCUUGGGCGGUGAGCGAGCGUCACACAGAGGGCUGCUCUUUCCGUCUACGUCUGGGGCGGAGAGUUAAAGACUUCAGGCUAGCGGUUAGCGUUUCUUGUCCGUUCUGAGCGCGCGCCGCGAACGUCCUGGGGUAAUGCCCAGGGCAUGAACGCGAAUAAGCAUGUAGGCUCUUGACCAGUAACAUUUUCGGACGCGGGUUCGACUCCCGCCGCCUCCACCA
RNAcentral lists this transfer-messenger RNA (369 nucleotides) under Acidobacteriota bacterium. It matches the Rfam family "transfer-messenger RNA". From Rfam's summary of the family: Bacterial tmRNA, also known as 10Sa RNA or SsrA, is named for its dual tRNA and mRNA-like properties. Its role is to liberate the mRNA from a stalled ribosome. To accomplish this part of the tmRNA is used as a reading frame that ends in a translation stop signal. The record is from RNAcentral. Lineage: Bacteria; Pseudomonadati; Acidobacteriota.